AGAACGAACGCUGGCGGCAUGCCUAACACAUGCAAGUCGAACGUGAUCCAUGACUUCGGUUGUGGUGAAAGUGGCAAACGGGUGAGUAACGCGUGGGAAUCUGCCCAGAGGUAGGGAAUAACCGCGGGAAACUGCGGCUAAUACCCUAUGUGCCCUACGGGGCAAAGAUUUAUCGCCUUUGGAGGAGCCCGCGUCGGAUUAGGUAGUUGGUAGGGUAACGGCCUACCAAGCCUACGAUCCGUAGCUGGUCUGAGAGGAUGAUCAGCCACACUGGGACUGAGAUACGGCCCAGACUCCUACGGGAGGCAGCAGUGGGGAAUAUUGGACAAUGGGGGCAACCCUGAUCCAGCAAUGCCGCGUGAGUGAUGAAGGCCUUCGGGUUGUAAAGUCUCUUUCGGCGGGGAAGAUGAUGACGGUACCCGCAGAGAAGCCCGGCUAACUUCGUGCCAGCAGCCGC
This 457-nucleotide ribosomal RNA is filed under the name uncultured bacterium. RNAcentral describes it as "SSU rRNA". It matches the Rfam family "Bacterial small subunit ribosomal RNA", at positions 26 to 518 of the family's 1533-position model. The record is from RNAcentral.